This 317-nucleotide ribosomal RNA is filed under the name uncultured bacterium. RNAcentral's name for it is "bacterial SSU rRNA". It matches the Rfam family "Bacterial small subunit ribosomal RNA", at positions 28 to 334 of the family's 1533-position model. The record is from RNAcentral.
GACGAACGCUGGCGGCGUGCCUAAUACAUGCAAGUCGAGCGGACUGAAGGGAGCUUGCUCUUUUAGGUUAGCGGCGGACGGGUGAGUAACACGUGGGCAACCUGCCCUGCAGACUGGGAUAACUUCGGGAAACCGGAGCUAAUACCGGAUAACACCGAAAACCGCAUGGUUUUCGGUUGAAAGGCGGCUUUUAGCUGUCACUGCAGGAUGGGCCCGCGGCGCAUUAGCUAGUUGGUGAGGUAACGGCUCACCAAGGCGACGAUGCGUAGCCGACCUGAGAGGGUGAUCGGCCACAUUGGGACUGAGACACGGCCCAG